This 253-nucleotide ribosomal RNA is filed under the name uncultured bacterium. RNAcentral's name for it is "partial 16S ribosomal RNA". It matches the Rfam family "Bacterial small subunit ribosomal RNA", at positions 524 to 776 of the family's 1533-position model. The record is from RNAcentral.
UACGGGGGGGGCAAGCGUUGUUCGGAAUUACUGGGCGUAAAGGGUUCGUAGGUGGCCAACUAAGCCAGACGUGAAAUCCCUCGGCUUAACCGGGGAACUGCGUCUGAUACUGGAUGGCUUGAAUCCGGGAGAGGGAUGCGGAAUUCCAGGUGUAGCGGUGAAAUGCGUAGAUAUCUGGAGGAACACCGGUGGCGAAGGCGGCAUCCUGGACCGGCAUUGACGCUGAGGAGCGAAAGCCAGGGGAGCAAACGGG